AAGGGCAUAGCUCAGUAAUAGAGCAUGUGCUUAGCAUGCACAAGGUCCUGGGUUCAAUCCCCGGUGCCUCUG
Molecule: transfer RNA, 72 nt
Filed under: Vicugna pacos (alpaca)
Lineage: Eukaryota; Metazoa; Chordata; Mammalia; Artiodactyla; Camelidae
Also listed under: 1 other name
Rfam family: tRNA
About the family: Transfer RNA (tRNA) molecules are approximately 80 nucleotides in length. Their secondary structure includes four short double-helical elements and three loops (D, anti-codon, and T loops).
Source: Rfam by way of RNAcentral